Molecule: unclassified non-coding RNA, 400 nt
Filed under: uncultured fungus
Lineage: Eukaryota; Fungi
Description: sequence contains ITS1
Source: RNAcentral
ACGUCAUCCCCACCUUCCUCCGGUUUGUCACCGGCAGUCUCAUUAGAGUGCCCAACUGAAUGUAGCAACUAAUGACAAGGGUUGCGCUCGUUGCGGGACUUAACCCAACAUCUCACGACACGAGCUGACGACAGCCAUGCAGCACCUGUGUUCCCGUUCCCUUUCGGGCACAGCCCCCUUUCAGGGGCCUCCAGGACAUGUCAAGGGUAGGUAAGGUUUUUCGCGUUGCAUCGAAUUAAUCCACAUAAUCCACCGCUUGUGCGGGUCCCCGUCAAUUCCUUUGAGUUUUAACCUUGCGGCCGUACUCCCCAGGCGGUCGACUUCACGCGUUAGCUUCGUUACUGAGAGUGUCAAACCCCCAACAACCAGUCGACAUCGUUUAGGGCGUGGACUACCAGGG